GCAUCUGAAUCUUUCCCAGCUCCUUGCGACACGUAACGCUGGGCUGGGACAUGGGAUGCGACAGGAGAGCAGAGGGAAUCCAGGCAAGCUCGCUCUGCCCCGGUGGGACUUGUCUGUAGCCUCUGCAGCGUCU
RNAcentral lists this small nucleolar RNA (133 nucleotides) under Eurypyga helias (sunbittern). RNAcentral describes it as "Small nucleolar RNA SNORA55". It matches the Rfam family "Small nucleolar RNA SNORA55". From Rfam's summary of the family: ACA55 is a member of the H/ACA class of snoRNA that guide the sites of modification of uridines to pseudouridines. Lineage: Eukaryota; Metazoa; Chordata; Aves; Eurypygiformes; Eurypygidae. The record is from Rfam by way of RNAcentral.